UGGAAAGGCCUGGAAGGGUUGAGCCUG
Molecule: non-coding RNA, 27 nt
Filed under: Mus musculus (house mouse)
Lineage: Eukaryota; Metazoa; Chordata; Mammalia; Rodentia; Muridae
Source: RNAcentral